CUUGAAUAGCUUAAUGAUUGGGUAAUUGGUUGUUCGUAUGGUUCAUGUGACGCAUGUUCUUGUACCUCUAGGACACUAGGAGGAUAUUGGACAUCUUCGUUGGAGCAAACGAAAGGUUUCGUUUACCAUCGGUGGGUUUGGCUUCAUGAAAACGGGGCGAAACGGCCCCUAAGCAUUCUAAACUCUUCGUAUACUAUUUUUGAAUGCAUAUUUAUGCUAAGUAGUAUUUAUGUGAAUUUUGGAACCCCUGAAAUACAUGUGUUAUGUAUAAGAAAAUUUUCACUCUAUAUGUUAGAGCAUUCUGGGUAUUGUUGCAUGCACUCGGGUAGAGCUCUCGCUAGUCAUUUGGAAACACGCUUUAAAUGCUUAAAAUGGUUCAAUUAUGUAAUUAUGAAC
This 396-nucleotide long non-coding RNA is filed under the name Ananas comosus (pineapple). RNAcentral's name for it is "long non-coding RNA (ACOM_LNC040740)". Lineage: Eukaryota; Viridiplantae; Streptophyta; Magnoliopsida; Poales; Bromeliaceae. The record is from RNAcentral.